Long non-coding RNA from Taeniopygia guttata (zebra finch), 510 nucleotides. RefSeq lists it as uncharacterized. NCBI's taxonomy places the organism in Eukaryota, Metazoa, Chordata, Aves, Passeriformes, Estrildidae. The record is from RefSeq and is a predicted model, not a curated record.
AGGCUCCCAUGGAGGGCCACGGCUCAGCACCUACAGCACAGGAGCAGGAGCAGAAAGGCACGAUAACUCCACGGGCCGUGCCAGGCAGCCCUGAACUGAGCCAUGAAAAUUGCUUUGAAAUCACAGCAGACAAAGAGGAAACUUUUGGACGUAAUUUAUUUUGGGAUGUUCCAACCCAGAGCUAUCGUCCAAACCAAAAAAGAAGUCCAGCCCUGCCAAGUCCUUAAUCAUUGAAAAGAAGAGACCACAAAACUGAAUGAAAAGAGGAUUGGAACAAUUUUCCUACUCUGAAAAAGCCCCUUUUUUGGAGUUACUGUCAGACGAAAAUAAGGGAGCAACAAAACCCCUUAAUACAUCACUGAUGUAUCUUACUGGAGGUUACUUGCAGAGGCCAAACCUUUGAAAUGGGAGCAAUGCUGGAGUUUGUCCUUGCUGGGAGAGAGCUCAUAUGUGGACUUUGCAUUUCAGAAAAUAAAGCCUUACUAGCAUUUCAAGGGAAAUUUUCAACCA